Molecule: ribosomal RNA, 617 nt
Filed under: Isonychus sp. Arg2
Lineage: Eukaryota; Metazoa; Arthropoda; Insecta; Coleoptera; Scarabaeidae
Description: partial 16S large subunit ribosomal RNA
Rfam family: Bacterial large subunit ribosomal RNA
Source: RNAcentral
AUUUAAGUUUGACCUGCCCAAUGAGUAUUUAAAUGGCCGCGGUAAUUUGACCGUGCAAAGGUAGCAUAAUCAUUAGUUUUUUAAUUGGAAGCUGGAAUGAAUGGUUGGACGAGAAAAUGGCUGUCUUUAUUUAAUUUAUAUUAGAAUUUUAUUUUUAAGUUAAAAAGCUUAAAUAUUAUUAAAAGACGAGAAGACCCUAUAGAGUUUAAUAAUUUUUAUUAUUAUUAUUAUUUAGGUAGUUUUUUUAAUUUUAAUAUAAAGUUUAUUUGGUUGGGGUGAUUUAAAAAUUAAAGUAACUUUUUAUAACUUAUUUUACAUUGAUUUAUGUUUUAAUGAUCCAUUAUUUAUGAUUAUAAGAUUAAAUUACCUUAGGGAUAACAGCGUUAUUUUAUUUGAGAGUUCUUAUCGAAAAUAAAGUUUGCGACCUCGAUGUUGGAUUAAAAUAAACUUUUGGUGUAGGGGCUAUUUAGUUAAGUCUGUUCGACUUUUAAAAUUUUACAUGAUCUGAGUUUAAACCGGUGUGAGCCAGGUUGGUUUCUAUCUUUAAUUUGUAUUUAAAUAUUUUAGUACGAAAGGACCAAAUAUUAAUAAUAGUUAUUUUAUUUUGUUUAUUAUUA